GGAAUUCAGGGUCAGGAGCGGCGAGGAGCAGCAGGUAGGUAGGCUGGCAUCGGGUCCGUGGCAGCCGCCCGGCCGCCGCGUGGGGCACCGCCUCAGUGUGGCCGCAACCUCCGCGCAAGGAACUCCUCUACGCCGCCUCCACCACCUCCACCGCCGCAGCCGCAGCCGCAGACAUGCCUAAGCCCAAGGAGUUCUUCGCCAUGGCGGCGCUGUGCCUCGCCUCCGCCUUCGCCUUCUUCUGCUGCCCGAUCUUCAUGGAGCGACCGCAGCAGUAAAGCGUCGCUCGCGCUCCCGUACCUGUGAUACACCAUGCGCCCGCACCAUCAGCUGCCUUGGGAGGAGGGCGAGGAAGCCGCACCGCGCGACGUGGCUUGAGGGAGGCAACAACCCAGCUGCAAUUGCAAUGUAACAACAUCUCAUCACAAGGAGGGAAGGAAUCGCCGGAGGUUUCCCGGAAAUCAUUCAACAAAGGGGCCAAAAAGAGAAGAAGUCCAUUUUGGUGAAGCUGUCUUGAUGCUGUUCAAGGAAACUCUGGUCUCUCAUGGAAAAUAAUUGUAUAUAUCAAUCAGGAGACGGCGAUAACCUGAAGACCCUUUUAGCCAACCUGUCACCACAUUAAUAAGCUGGCAUUAACAAAACAAAGAAGAAAAGGGAGUUUAAGAAACCAAAACAACAAUAAGAAUUAAUCUAUACAUGCACAGUCCCCUCAUAAAGUGUCUAUUCUGUGCAACAGUAACUUGUUCAAAGUCGAAAGGUUUUUUUUUAAAUCAAACGACCUGACUUAAUUUCCACAUUGAAUCCAGGUGUUUCAAAGGUUAGCCAGUGUUUGUCUAUAAGCUUUAAUGUAACCCUGUAACAUGGUGUGAAUGAUGAUAGUAUUAUUAUUAUCACGAUUAUUUUUCUUUCUUUCUUUCCCUCAUAGUAUCAUAUUAGUCUUUAUGUUAAGUGUGUAAUGGUAUGCCUGUUCAUCCUAUAUCACUUUAUUUGUUGUUUUUAAUAAAUGUUAAUAGUAUUAAA
RNAcentral lists this long non-coding RNA (1017 nucleotides) under Penaeus japonicus. RNAcentral's name for it is "uncharacterized LOC122248666". The record is from RNAcentral. Lineage: Eukaryota; Metazoa; Arthropoda; Malacostraca; Decapoda; Penaeidae.